This 238-nucleotide ribosomal RNA is filed under the name Ditylum brightwellii. Its description in RNAcentral is "partial Bacterial small subunit ribosomal RNA". It matches the Rfam family "Bacterial small subunit ribosomal RNA", at positions 485 to 722 of the family's 1533-position model. The record is from RNAcentral. Lineage: Eukaryota; Bacillariophyta; Thalassiosirophyceae; Lithodesmiales; Lithodesmiaceae.
AAUAAGCACCGGCUAACUUCGUGCCAGCAGCCGCGGUAAUACGAAGGGUGCAAGCGUUACUCGGAAUUACUGGGCGUAAAGCGUGCGCAGGCGGUUUUGUAAGUCUGUCGUGAAAGCCCCGGGCUCAACCUGGGAAUUGCGAUGGAGACUGCAAGGCUUGAAUCUGGCAGAGGGGGGUAGAAUUCCACGUGUAGCAGUGAAAUGCGUAGAGAUGUGGAGGAACACCGAUGGCGAAGGC